UGUGCCUCGUUUAUACUAAGUGACCCAUAGGUUGAGGAGGCUACCACAUGCAAGGAAGGCAGCAGACGCGCAAUUGACCCACUCCCGACGCGGGAAGGUAGUGACGACAAAUAACAAUACAGGACUCUUUAGAGGCCCUGUAAUUGUAAUGAGUCCACUUGAAAUCCUUUAACUCUGAUCAAUUGGAGGGAAGUCUGGUGCAGAGCCACUGACGCCUGCUUCUGCUCGCACA
Molecule: non-coding RNA, 232 nt
Organism: Pelobates cultripes (western spadefoot toad)
Lineage: Eukaryota; Metazoa; Chordata; Amphibia; Anura; Pelobatidae
Source: the annotation of a GenBank genome assembly